RNAcentral lists this ribosomal RNA (452 nucleotides) under uncultured bacterium. RNAcentral describes it as "partial 16S ribosomal RNA". It matches the Rfam family "Bacterial small subunit ribosomal RNA", at positions 30 to 507 of the family's 1533-position model. The record is from RNAcentral.
UGAACGCUGACAGAAUGCUUAACACAUGCAAGUCAACUUGAACUUCGGUUUGGGUGGCGGACGGGUGAGUAACGCGUAAAGAACUUGCCUCACAGCUAGGGACAACAUUUGGAAACGAAUGCUAAUACCUGAUAUUAUGAUUAUAUGGCAUCGUAUAAUUAUGAAAGCUAUAUGCGCUGUGAGAGAGCUUUGCGUCCCAUUAGCUAGUUGGAGAGGUAACAGCUCACCAAGGCGAUGAUGGGUAGCCGGCCUGAGAGGGUGAUCGGCCACAAGGGGACUGAGACACGGCCCUUACUCCUACGGGAGGCAGCAGUGGGGAAUAUUGGACAAUGGACCGAGAGUCUGAUCCAGCAAUUCUGUGUGCACGAUGAAGUUUUUCGGAAUGUAAAGUGCUUUCAGUUGGGAAGAAAAAAAUGACGGUACCAACAGAAGAAGUGACGGCUAAAUACGUG